CCUACGGGAGGCAGCAGUGAGGAAUAUUGGUCAAUGGGCGCGAGCCUGAACCAGCCAAGUAGCGUGAAGGAUGACUGCCCUAUGGGUUGUAAACUUCUUUUAUCGAGGAAUAAAGUGCGGCACGUGUGCCUUUUUGUAUGUACCUUAUGAAUAAGGAUCGGCUAACUCCGUGCCAGCAGCCGCGGUAAUCCGGAGGAUCCGAGCGUUAUCCGGAUUUAUUGGGUUUAAAGGGGGCGGAGAUGGGUUGUUAAGUCAGUUGUGAAAGUUUGCGGCUCAACCGUAAAAUUGCAGUUGAUACUGGCAGCCUUGAGUGCAGUAGAGGUAGGCGGAAUGCGUGGUGUAGCGGUGAAAUGCUUAGAUAUCACGAAGAACUCCGAUUGCGAAGGCAGCAUACUGGAGUGCAACUGACGUUGAUGCACGAAAGUGUGGGUAUCGAACAGGAUUAGAUACCCUUGUAGUC
This 460-nucleotide ribosomal RNA is filed under the name uncultured bacterium. Its description in RNAcentral is "partial 16S ribosomal RNA". It matches the Rfam family "Bacterial small subunit ribosomal RNA", at positions 338 to 795 of the family's 1533-position model. The record is from RNAcentral.